GAAGGGGUUGGAAAAUGUGUUUCAGAGACCUUAGAGGAAAGUGACCGGGAGGAUAUCCACAAUAACGUUCAUUUCCACCGCUUACUACUAAUUGGGAAAAUUAUUAUAUUACAACAGAAGAGCUAAAUUUGGACCUCAAACUUGAAAUGUUCUGUAGUGUGAGAAGGUGGAAUUUGGUGAUGAAAGGAUUCAGUUCUUUUCAGAAUUACAGCAUGGACUUCUUGGAGUGUAAGUGCCUGAGCUAGUUACGCUGUGGUGCAGAGGAGGGAGGGAGCUUGGAUGUGGAGGUGGAAGGGCAGGAUUCAAGUCUCAGUGUUUCCACUUACUUAUGGUUUAAGUUAGUCAUACUCAAGUGUCUCAUCUGUGAAACGGGAACAAUAAAGUUGACAGGAAUGCCAUGUUAUGGGAAGGACUUUGUGAACAACGAGGCACAACACAAAUGUUGUUAGCAUUGAUCUGGCUGGUGGAUCCUAUCUCAAGGUUCAGAGGAAGGAACUGACCCACAGCUGCCUUUGGCUGUACCAUGAAGACUGGAGUUUCAGCUCCAGUCUGACUGCAUUUGUAAAGAAUUUGCCUUUAAAGACCAGAAAAACAACAACAUGGAAAUGAAGCCCAAGGCUUUCACCACAGACAGGAUGGUUGAUUGUUUUGCUCCAGUUUGUUCCAACAGUUUGCACUGCCAGGACUCAAGCCUCCAGACAGCCCAUGGUACACGUUAACCACAGUUGUGGGGGAGAGGUGGAAGAAGGAAUGCCAUUUUCUGUUAACCCCAGGAUCUGUUAACGCCUGGUCUGCAUUUAUAUCUGCUUAGCAGUUGUUUCACUUUUAGAAUUCAUGCCACAAGCUGAUUCCAUGUAAUUAUUUGUUACCCAUCUUGGGAUUCUUAAAUGUAUCUUUCCGCCCCACAACAAAAAGAACUAGUUGUUGGUGUUACUUAAAAUAAAAGCAAAGAAUAUUCAUCAAUUUUUA
This is a non-coding RNA of Ictidomys tridecemlineatus (thirteen-lined ground squirrel), 969 nucleotides long. The record is from RefSeq and is a predicted model, not a curated record. NCBI's taxonomy places the organism in Eukaryota, Metazoa, Chordata, Mammalia, Rodentia, Sciuridae.